RNAcentral lists this long non-coding RNA (390 nucleotides) under Pan paniscus (pygmy chimpanzee). RNAcentral describes it as "lncRNA (ENSPPAG00000044882.1)". The record is from RNAcentral. Lineage: Eukaryota; Metazoa; Chordata; Mammalia; Primates; Hominidae.
UAAAUUCUGAAUCGGCUUUUGCAAAAAUUUCAUAUUAAGAGCCAGGUAGCACCCAAAUAACUCAAAUUGCCAUGCGUCCUAUCCUCAAUGAAAACAUUCCAGGCCAAGUGUGUCUUUAAGCCAGGAAAGCUAUAAAAAUAAUGAUUAUUUUAAUCUCUAUGUACUUCCUUGGGGUGAAAAAGGGCUGGAACAUUUUGGGUACAUAUUUGUUGAAUGGACUAUAAAAUAAUUAUUGGAUAUUUUCAAGGACAGCAACUAAUAAAUCCUAUGGAAAAGAACAAAGCAGAAGCCAAAAAUAUGCAAAGUAUAAAUGUUCAAAGUUCCAGAAUGUCAACUCACUCCAACUUCUUAAGUGGUGGCAGAAUACGAUUAACAAAGAAACAAAGGUGA